Molecule: ribosomal RNA, 650 nt
Filed under: uncultured Actinomycetes bacterium
Lineage: Bacteria; Bacillati; Actinomycetota; Actinomycetes
Description: bacterial SSU rRNA
Rfam family: Bacterial small subunit ribosomal RNA
Source: RNAcentral
GCUUGUUGGUGGGGUAAUGGCCUACCAAGGCGACGACGGGUAGCCGGCCUGAGAGGGUGACCGGCCACACUGGGACUGAGAUACGGCCCAGACUCCUACGGGAGGCAGCAGUGGGGAAUAUUGCACAAUGGGCGCAAGCCUGAUGCAGCGACGCCGCGUGAGGGAUGACGGCCUUCGGGUUGUAAACCUCUUCCAAUAGGGACGAAGCGCAAGUGACGGUACCUAUAGAAGAAGGACCGGCCAACUACGUGCCAGCAGCCGCGGUAAUACGUAGGGUCCGAGCGUUGUCCGGAAUUACUGGGCGUAAAGAGCUCGUAGGUGGUUUGUCGCGUUGUCCGUGAAAUCCCACAACUCAAUUGUGGGUCUGCGGGCGAUACGGGCAGACUGGAGUACUGCAGGGGAGACUGGAAUUCCUGGUGUAGCGGUGGAAUGCGCAGAUAUCAGGAGGAACACCGGUGGCGAAGGCGGGUCUCUGGGCAGUAACUGACGCUGAGGAGCGAAAGCGUGGGGAGCGAACAGGAUUAGAUACCCUGGUAGUCCACGCCGUAAACGGUGGGCACUAGGUGUGGGUUUCCUUCCUUGGGAUCCGUGCCGUAGCUAACGCAUUAAGUACCCCGCCUGGGGAGUACGGCCGCAAGGCUAAAACUCAA